This 468-nucleotide ribosomal RNA is filed under the name uncultured bacterium. Its description in RNAcentral is "partial 16S ribosomal RNA". It matches the Rfam family "Bacterial small subunit ribosomal RNA", at positions 28 to 507 of the family's 1533-position model. The record is from RNAcentral.
GACGAACGCUGGCGGCGUGCUUAACACAUGCAAGUCGAACGGAAAGGCCCUGCUUUUGUGGGGUGCUCGAGUGGCGAACGGGUGAGUAACACGUGAGUAACCUGCCCUUGACUUUGGGAUGACUUCAGGAAACUGGGGCUAAUACCGGAUAGGAGCUCCUGCUGCAUGGUGGGGGUUGGAAAGUUUCGGCGGUUGGGGAUGGACUCGCGGCUUAUCAGCUUGUUGGUGGGGUAGUGGCUUACCAAGGCUUUGACGGGUAGCCGGCCUGAGAGGGUGACCGGCCACAUUGGGACUGCGAUGCGGCCCAGACUCCUACGGGAGGCAGCAGAGGGGAAUAUUGCACAAUGGGCGGAAGCCUGAUGCAGCAACGCCGCGUGCGGGAUGACGGCCUUCGGGUUGUAAGCCGCUUUCGCCUGUGACGAAGCGUGAGUGACGGUAAUGGGUGAAGAAGCACCGGCUAACUACGUG